This 308-nucleotide ribosomal RNA is filed under the name uncultured bacterium. Its description in RNAcentral is "partial 16S ribosomal RNA". It matches the Rfam family "Bacterial small subunit ribosomal RNA", at positions 505 to 808 of the family's 1533-position model. The record is from RNAcentral.
GAGACAGCAGCCGCCGCGGUAAUACGUAGGUCCCGAGCGUUGUCCGGAUUUAUUGGGCGUAAAGCGAGCGCAGGCGGUUAGAUAAGUCUGAAGUUAAAGGCUGUGGCUUAACCAUAGUACGCUUUGGAAACUGUUUAACUUGAGUGUAAGAGGGGAGAGUGGAAUUCCAUGUGUAGCGGUGAAAUGCGUAGAUAUAUGGAGGAACACCGGUGGCGAAAGCGGCUCUCUGGCUUGUAACUGACGCUGAGGCUCGAAAGCGUGGGGAGCAAACAGGAUUAGAUACCCCAGUAGUCCCUGUCUCUUAUACA